RNAcentral lists this small nucleolar RNA (106 nucleotides) under Myotis davidii. Its description in RNAcentral is "Small nucleolar RNA SNORA31". It matches the Rfam family "Small nucleolar RNA SNORA31". Rfam says of the family: ACA31 (SNORA31) belongs to the H/ACA class of snoRNAs which are thought to guide the sites of modification of uridines to pseudouridines. ACA31 is predicted to guide the pseudouridylation of U3713 in 28S rRNA and U218 in 18S rRNA. Lineage: Eukaryota; Metazoa; Chordata; Mammalia; Chiroptera; Vespertilionidae. The record is from Rfam by way of RNAcentral.
CAGCAUAGAACAUCGAGUCAAUAAUAUUGAGAUGCAAGAGAAAAGUGUCCCUGCCCUUUCUGUCUGUCUGAUUGUGGCAGACAAGAUUGAAUGAGGGAAUACAAGG